Molecule: ribosomal RNA, 497 nt
Filed under: uncultured bacterium
Lineage: Bacteria
Description: partial 16S ribosomal RNA
Rfam family: Bacterial small subunit ribosomal RNA
Source: RNAcentral
GAUGAACGCUGGCGGCGUGCCUAAUACAUGCAAGUCGAGCGAAAAGACGCGGCGCUUGUUCCUUUGACGUUAGCGGCGGACGGGUGAGUAACAUGUGGAUACUCUACCUAUAAGUCUGGUAUCAUUUCGGGACACCGGAGCAAAUACCGGAUAAUAUCUUGAACCGCAUGGUUCAAUAGUGAGUGUCGGUUUUGCUGUCUCUUCUAGAUGGAUCCGCGCCGCUUUAGCUAGUUGGUAAGGUAACGGCUUUCCAAGGCAACGAUGCGUAGCCGAGCUGAGAGGGGGAUCGGCCACACUGGAACUUGGACACGGUCCUGGCUCCUACGGGAGGCAGCAGUAGGGAAUCUUCCGCAAUGGGCGAGAGCCUGGCGGAGCGGCGCCGCGUGAGAUAUGAAGGUCUUCGGAUCGGAAUACUCUGUUAUGAGGGGAAAACAAAUGUGUAAGUAACUAUGCACGUCUUGACGGUACCUAGUCAGAAAGCCACGGCUAACUACGUG